Helianthus annuus (common sunflower) is the source of this 1463-nucleotide RNA transcript. It is a transcript of the gene named monosaccharide-sensing protein 1-like, with no coding region annotated. The record is from RefSeq and is a predicted model, not a curated record. NCBI's taxonomy places the organism in Eukaryota, Viridiplantae, Streptophyta, Magnoliopsida, Asterales, Asteraceae. The transcript is spliced from 4 exons.
UCAAUUCGGUUUUCAAAAAAUAUCAUCAACACCACCCCUAACCCUAAUUGAAUCACACACAUAGUUACUUAUCAGCCACCAUCGGAGGAAAUAUGCACUUUCUCUUUUGAGAACUGUUUUUUUAUAUGCCAGAAGAGAUGAAGUAUUAAUAUGUGUAUCAUAAGUAUCAGAAUUUAUGUGAAUGUUUUGGCUUUAGUUGAUCUGUUUUCUAUUUUACUUAAUUAUUUAACUGUUCUCAUUGAAUUUAUGUGAAUGUUUUGGAUUUAGUUGAUCUGAUUAGUUUUCUAUUUCAGAACUGUUUUUUUUUAUAUGCCAGAAGAGAUGAAGUAUUAAUUGGUAUGACCAUGUGAUUUUCCGUCUUAUAUAUCCCUUGUCACUUGUGAGUACUCCUUGUCAACAAUUACUGUCAAGAAACAAAAACUUUGUUACACUGACAUUGUAAUUUGAAACCUGAAAACCUCUGUUUUGUUCUGUGGUGUCUGUUUGGUAUAUCUGUAGCUAGUUACUCUUUGGUAUAUCACCAAAAACCUUGUAAACCCUUGUUUUGUAGAUUCACUUCAGUAUGUUCCAUCUAUGCACAAAUGAUGGAUCCAAUGGUGACUCUAUUCGGAAGUGUUCACGAGAAACAGAACGAAACCGGAAGCAUGAUCUUCCCAAAUUUCGGAAGCAUGUUUCAUGGCGAUCAGCAUAAACCCGGAUGUAGAGAGUAAUCACGAAAAUGGGAACUUAUCCGUGGACGAAACUAAUGAUAAUGUAAAAACCCCGUUGCUAUCGCUUAAUUCAACUAGUGUAGAUAAAGACAUGAUUGCUCCGGUUUCUAGGAGUAUGUUAAACACAGAUCAGCCUAGCGAGUCGAAUAGUGUGAUAGGGAUUGGUGGUGGGUGGCAGUUGGCGUAUACAAAGACCGAAGUCGGGAAGAAAGCGGGCGGGUUGCAGCGGAUUUACUUGCACCAGGAGGGUGGUGCAGAAUCCAGACGCGGGUCCAUUGCUUCACUCCCGGUUGCGGAUGAUGGUGACGGGGUUCGGGCCUCGGCUCUUGUUAGUAGAUCAGUUCUUUGUUUAGAUGAUACGAUGGGUCAGAACCCGAUUCAGUCGGGUCUGAUCAAACCACAACAGUCUACUAAAGAUGUGACAAGUUGGGCUGAUCUUUCCAAGCUGGUAUUAAACAAGCAUUGAUUGUUGGUGUUGGGAUUCAAAUACUACAACAGGUUUACGGUCACAUUUACAUGCUACUAAGCUGUUUCAGCUAAAUAUUCUUCAUUUGACAGCGUUUUCAAUCGGAUUCAACUAUCGCUAAGCUGUUUUAUCGUUCGGAUUGGGCAUCCUACUAUUUUGGCUAUGCGUUAUUCGAUUUGUGUUUAUGUAUGAACUUGGCGUCGCUGCAAGCGAUGAGAUGAUUUUUCCUUUUAUUUCACAUGUAGCUCUAGUGUUUGGUUUCCUGUCAACAUUAUUUGGUAUCGGUG